AUUUGUUUUCAUGGGAAGUAAAAAAAAAAAAAAAAGAAUGGACCGUUCGACUACCUACUGGCCUAACCCUAGACACUCUAAGAUCCUUUUUCAAACCUGGAGGUAGCUACAGUCGCGAGCAGGUCCUUGCUCGCUCCCUCCAAUAAUUCCCAACUAAAAGGGGAUAUUUUCUGCAUUUUUGUUAUAGCAAUCGCAGCCGCUGAAGCAGCUAUUGGAUCAAUAAAGUAACCGAACUCAAAAGAAAAUUCAUUAGUUAUGGUCCAAGUUAAAUGCUAUUAAUGAGAAUAGUAAUUCAUUAUUCUUAUCUCUUAUAAGUUGUUCAUAAAGCAUGAGAGUAGAUUCAUGACCUAUUCUCU
RNAcentral lists this long non-coding RNA (356 nucleotides) under Eutrema salsugineum. RNAcentral describes it as "long non-coding RNA (ESAL_LNC001717)". The record is from RNAcentral. Lineage: Eukaryota; Viridiplantae; Streptophyta; Magnoliopsida; Brassicales; Brassicaceae.